GCCAGGAGUGGUAGUGCACACCUGUGAUCCCAGCAACUCAGGAGGCUAAGGCAGGAGGAUCACAAGUGCAAAGCCAGCCUCAGCAACUUAGCAAGCCCCUGUCUCAA
This 107-nucleotide small RNA is filed under the name Marmota monax (woodchuck). Lineage: Eukaryota; Metazoa; Chordata; Mammalia; Rodentia; Sciuridae. The record is from RNAcentral.